This 419-nucleotide ribosomal RNA is filed under the name uncultured bacterium. RNAcentral's name for it is "bacterial SSU rRNA". It matches the Rfam family "Bacterial small subunit ribosomal RNA", at positions 28 to 490 of the family's 1533-position model. The record is from RNAcentral.
GGUUAACGCUGGCGGUAUGUAUAAUACAUGCAAGUCGAGCGACCCACUUCGGUGGGGAGCGGCGAACGGGUGAGUAACACGUUGGAACCUACCUCGAACUCAGGGAUAACCCACAGAAAUGUGGGCUAAUACCGGAUAGUCCCGCAAGGGUAAAGCUUUUGCGGUUCGAGAGGGUCCUGCGGCCUAUCAGCUAGUUGGUAAGGUAAUGGCUUACCAAGGCUUUGACGGGUAGCUGGUCUGAGAGGAUGAUCAGCCACAAUGGGACUGAGACACGGCCCAUACUCCUACGGGAGGCAGCAGUAAAGAAUCUUUCGCAAUGGGGGAAACCCUGACGAAGCAAUACCGCGUGGGCGAUGAAGGUCGAAAGAUCGUAAAGCCCUUUUCUGGAGGAAGAAUUCUGACGGUACUCCAGGAAUAAG